UGGUGUUAGUGAGUUAGGUGGAUGAGGUCCACUGCGGUUCGACAAGCGGCGUAGCCGCUUGAACGUCACGUUGGUGACGGCCCGCAGGGUGAGGCUUGGAAAGCCGAAUAAUCCACCUCCCGCCACCG
Molecule: small RNA, 128 nt
Filed under: Porticoccaceae bacterium
Lineage: Bacteria; Pseudomonadati; Pseudomonadota; Gammaproteobacteria; Cellvibrionales; Porticoccaceae
Description: RtT sRNA
Rfam family: RtT RNA
About the family: This family represents a bacterial cis-regulatory element known as RtT RNA. The exact function of RtT is unknown although it is thought that it may be involved in changing the cellular response in relation to amino acid starvation.
Source: RNAcentral